UACGAAGGGGGCUAGCGUUGCUCGGAAUCACUGGGCGUAAAGCGCACGUAGGCGGCUUUUUAAGUCAGGGGUGAAAUCCUGGAGCUCAACUCCAGAACUGCCUUUGAUACUGAGAGGCUUGAGUCCGGGAGAGGUGAGUGGAACUGCGAGUGUAGAGGUGAAAUUCGUAGAUAUUCGCAAGAACACCAGUGGCGAAGGCGGCUCACUGGCCCGGGACUGACGCUGAGGUGCGAAAGCGUGGGGAGCAAGCAGG
This 253-nucleotide ribosomal RNA is filed under the name uncultured bacterium. RNAcentral's name for it is "partial 16S ribosomal RNA". It matches the Rfam family "Bacterial small subunit ribosomal RNA", at positions 524 to 776 of the family's 1533-position model. The record is from RNAcentral.